Molecule: ribosomal RNA, 854 nt
Filed under: Halorubrum sp. ADMK104
Lineage: Archaea; Methanobacteriati; Methanobacteriota; Halobacteria; Halobacteriales; Haloferacaceae
Description: bacterial SSU rRNA
Rfam family: Archaeal small subunit ribosomal RNA
Source: RNAcentral
UUGCUAUUGGGAUCCGAUUUAGGCCAUGCUAGUCGCACGAGUUCAGACUCGUGGCGAAUAGCUCAGUAACACGUGGCCAAACUACCCUUCGGAACACAAUACCCUCGGGAAACUGAGGCUAAUAGUGUAUACCAUACCACCACUGGAAUGAGUGGUAUGCCAAACGCUCCGGCGCCGAAGGAUGUGGCUGCGGCCGAUUAGGUAGACGGUGGGGUAACGGCCCACCGUGCCAAUAAUCGGUAUGGGUCAUGAGAGUGAGAACCCAGAGACGGAAUCUGAGACAAGAUUCCGGGCCCUACGGGGCGCAGCAGGCGCGAAACCUUUACACUGCACGACAGUGCGAUAGGGGGAUCCCAAGUGCACAGGCAUAGCGCCUGUGCUUUUCGGUACCGUAAGGUGGUACCAGAAUAAGGGCUGGGCAAGACCGGUGCCAGCCGCCGCGGUAAUACCGGCAGCCCAAGUGAUGGCCGAUCUUAUUGGGCCUAAAGCGUCCGUAGCUGGCCGCGCAAGUCCAUCGGGAAAUCCACCUGCUCAACAGGUGGGCGCCCGGUAGAAACUGCGUGGCUUGGGACCGGAAGGCGCGACGGGUACGUCCGGGGUAGGAGUGAAAUCCCGUAAUCCUGGACGGACCGCCGAUGGCGAAAGCACGUCGCGAGGACGGAUCCGACAGUGAGGGACGAAAGCCAGGGUCUCGAACCGGAUUAGAUACCCGGGUAGUCCUGGCCGUAAACAAUGUCUGCUAGGUGUGGCUCCCACUACGAGUGGGUGCUGUGCCGUAGGGAAGCCGCUAAGCAGACCGCCUGGGAAGUACGUCCGCAAGGAUGAAACUUAAAGGAAUUGGCGGGGGAGCACUA